CCAAACUUUGAAGGUCGAUAUCUCGGUUUCUAUGGGAGCUAUCGGGAAAAUUCGAACGGUUUUGUCUUAGUUUCGUCAUUCUGAAUCCAACGAGACCAUCCGCAAGGUCGUAGCUCUUACGAUAGCCGAGAUAUGGCAUUUUUGAUGCCCAUUUUUGGCCUCAAAAACGGACGUCGAAAACGACUUUUUCAGGAUUUUCAAAGUGCUCUCAUUCCCUUAGUUCUGCUCGGAUCCUGUUAUAACCCGGUGUUUUCGUAAUCUAGGUGAUCCAAAUAAAACGCUGGUAUACUUAG
This is a long non-coding RNA of Anthonomus grandis grandis, 293 nucleotides long. RefSeq lists it as uncharacterized. The record is from RefSeq and is a predicted model, not a curated record. The transcript is spliced from 3 exons. Lineage: Eukaryota; Metazoa; Arthropoda; Insecta; Coleoptera; Curculionidae.